AUUGAACGCUGGCGGAAUGCUUUACACAUGCAAGUCGAACGGCAGCACGGGGGCAACCCUGGUGGCGAGUGGCGAACGGGUGAGUAAUACAUCGGAACGUGCCCAGUCGUGGGGGAUAACGUAGCGAAAGUUACGCUAAUACCGCAUACGAUCUACGGACGAAAGCGGGGGACCGUAAGGCCUCGCGCGAUUGGAGCGGCCGAUGUCAGAUUAGGUAGUUGGUGAGGUAAAGGCUCACCAAGCCGACGAUCUGUAGCUGGUCUGAGAGGACGACCAGCCACACUGGGACUGAGACACGGCCCAGACUCCUACGGGAGGCAGCAGUGGGGAAUUUUGGACAAUGGGCGCAAGCCUGAUCCAGCCAUUCCGCGUGCAGGACGAAGGCCUUCGGGUUGUAAACUGCUUUUGUACGCAACGAAAAGGCUCUGGUUAAUACCUGGGGCUCAUGACGGUACCGUAAGAAUAAGCACCGGCUAACUACGUGCCAGCAGCCGCCGUAA
RNAcentral lists this ribosomal RNA (500 nucleotides) under uncultured bacterium. Its description in RNAcentral is "partial 16S ribosomal RNA". It matches the Rfam family "Bacterial small subunit ribosomal RNA", at positions 30 to 523 of the family's 1533-position model. The record is from RNAcentral.